GUGUUUGUCUCGAUUAAUAAAAUUUAUUUAAGUAUUGGUACCAAUUUAAUUAUAUACGUAAUAGUUACUAAAUUUUUAAUUAUUUAAUAUAUAUUUAUUAUUUCAUAAUAUGUACAAAAUAUAUAAUACUUAAAAAUAAUUUAUAUUUAAUAUUCAUUCUGCGCAAGGCGCGGGUCUUAACCUAGUUAUUUUUAUCGUAAGAACGGGACGCAACAUUUUAUACACCAGUGAAUCGUGUGAUCAAUUGAUUUUUCAAUAUUUUACCAAUCACAUAGCAGAUAUCAUAUGCUUAUCUGUUGUUUUUUUUUUUCCUAAAUUACUUUCUCAUUUUUUUGUUUUUCUUUUUUAAGGCCAAUAUCUUCUGAAAAUGAUUGUACGUAACACUGAAUAUUUUUGUUUUGUUGUUAUCAUUAAAUCUUUGUUUGCUUUGCCCCUUGCAUCUUUUUCUUAAAAUUAAAAUAUGAUAUAUUAUCUUUUGUAACCUAAUUCUUUUUAAAACACUGAAGGAAUAUAUCAACUAAGAUUUCAUGGUGGGUUUUCAGUUUUGGUUCGCAAAAGUUUGUUUACUUGUUACAUAAAAUGACAAAACAUAUAAUUUAUAGGAAAAAAGUUUGCUAGCUACAAGAGGUUUACUAUAAUAUGGUGGAAACCAUCCGAUGUAUCCGAAUAUGUCAAUAAUUACACGACGUUAAUGAUAAUACAUGCCACAUGUACAAUAUAUCAUUUAAUAUGUCAAUAACAUCACAACAAGUUUUUAUUGAUUUUAAGAAAAGUUAAUGGGGUUAUUAUGUAAUUAUAAAAACGUAAACCCCAGAUAACAAAGGAAAACCCGACCCGACCUAACUCCAUAAAACCGAGAAGACUAUCCCUAAAUCGAUUUUCAAAAAGAAAGAAAGACAGAGAGAUGGAAUUGGGUGGAGGAUGGAGCAAUAAGCUAAAGGGCAAGGCAAUUGAAGGCAAUGUGCUUUGCUACUGUGGAAUUCCGGCCAAGAUAUCUCAAGCUUGGGCAGGCAAAAAUCCGGGUCGAAGCUUCUAUGGGUGUGAAAAAUACAAGAGAGGAGGUGACUGCAAUUUUUUUCAAUGGUUUGAUGAGGAAGAUGCUUUUGGAUGGCAAAAAAAAGCUUUGAUUGAAGCUAGAAACGAAAUUCACGAGAAGAACAAAACUAUUACGGAAUUGAAGAAGACCAUUUCAAAGCUUCGAAGUGAUUUGGUGAAAAAAUAAGAGGCUGAAGAAGACAUCAUCAACGCUUUUCUCAAACUCUGAAGUUGUUAUUGUAAGGAAUGCUUUGGUCAUGAUUAUUGUCGGAUCCUCAAAAACCCCUUGUAAUGUUAUUCCUAUUUGUUAGUAUCAGAUCCUCAAAAACCCUUGUAAUGGUUUGAACAUCAUGUGUUUAGUGUAAUAUAUUGUUUGUUAUGGGCUUCA
Molecule: long non-coding RNA, 1423 nt
Organism: Brassica rapa (field mustard)
Lineage: Eukaryota; Viridiplantae; Streptophyta; Magnoliopsida; Brassicales; Brassicaceae
Source: RefSeq, a predicted model, not a curated record